UGCGUAGGUGGCGCCGUAAGUGGGGUGUGAAAUCUCGGGGCUUAACUCCGAAACUGCAUUCCAUACUGCGGUGCUUGAGGACUGGAGAGGAGACUGGAAUUCAUGGUGUAGCAGUGAAAUGCGUAGAGAUCAUGAGGAAGACCAGUGGCGAAGGCGGGUCUCUGGACAGUUCCUGACACUGAGGCACGAAGCCAGGGGAGCAAACG
Molecule: ribosomal RNA, 206 nt
Filed under: uncultured bacterium
Lineage: Bacteria
Description: partial 16S ribosomal RNA
Rfam family: Bacterial small subunit ribosomal RNA
Source: RNAcentral